This 412-nucleotide long non-coding RNA is filed under the name Brassica napus (rape). RNAcentral's name for it is "long non-coding RNA (BNAP_LNC018385)". The record is from RNAcentral. Lineage: Eukaryota; Viridiplantae; Streptophyta; Magnoliopsida; Brassicales; Brassicaceae.
UUAUAUUGUGUGUUUCUCUUACUGCAAAACAAGAGAUAAUUGUUGGUGGUUUGGUUACCUUGAGAGGUGUGAGCGAAGGUAUCAUGUCCAUGUCUCACUUACGUUAUGCCCCCAAAUCACAUAACGUUUCUUGUAUUGAACUCCCACCGAGAAUGAUGUAUAUAUUCUGGCAACAAUAGUUUUGUGAUGUUGGCCGGCACUAUUCCUACCAUUUUGGGAUCCUUAGGCUCAUGAAAUCCCAUCGCAUCACUAUUCCUACCAUUUUGGGAUCCUUAGGCUCAUGAAAUCCCAUCGCAUACCUUGGUUUACAAUUUAACAUGAUACGUUUUUUUUUUCUUUUUGGUAUCAAUUCGGGAACAACUGUGUAAAUAAUUUUGAUACGGAAUAAUUGAUCAUAUUGUAAAAUGUUCGG